AACUUUUAACAACGGAUCUCUUGGCUCUUGCAACGAUGAAGAACGCAGCGAAAUGCGAUACGUAAUGUGAAUUGCAGAAUUCAGUGAAUCAUCGAAUCUUUGAACGCACCUUGCGCCCCUUGGCAUUCCGAGGGGCACACCCGUUUGAGUGUCGUGAACAUCCUCAACCUGCUUCGUUCUAUCGAACCAAGUAGGCUUGGAAUUUGGAGGUUUUUCUGCUGGCUUCCUCUGAAGCCAGCUCCUCUUAAAUCUAUCAGUGGGAUCCGCUUUGCUAGAUCCUCGACGUUGAUAAGAUGUUUCUACGUCUUGGGUUUCGCUCGGGAAGGACCUGCUUCUAACCGUCCCCAUCGGGGACAAUGUUCGAGAGCCGAUCGCCCUUCACGGGGUGGGAAGCUUUUCGACCCAUGAAACCUUGACCUCAAAUCGGGUGAGACUACCCGCUGAACUUAAGCAUAUCAAUAAGCGGA
This 467-nucleotide unclassified non-coding RNA is filed under the name uncultured Russulaceae. Its description in RNAcentral is "sequence contains ITS2". The stretch from base 1 to 154 matches the Rfam family "5.8S ribosomal RNA". The record is from RNAcentral. Lineage: Eukaryota; Fungi; Basidiomycota; Agaricomycetes; Russulales; Russulaceae.